GGGCCCGCACAAGCAGUGGAGUAUGUGGUUUAAUUCGAUGCAACGCGAAGAACCUUACCAGGUCUUGACAUCCGACUAACGGAGCAGAAAUGCACCGGUGCCCGCAAGGGAAAGUCGAGACAGGUGGUGCAUGGUUGUCGUCAGCUCGUGUCGUGAGAUGUUGGGUUAAGUCCCGCAACGAGCGCAACCCUUGUCAUUAGUUGCUACGGACAGAGCACUCUAAUGAGACUGCCGUUGACAAAACGGAGGAAGGUGGGGAUGACGUCAAAUCAUCAUGCCCCUUAUGAUCUGGGCUACACACGUACUACAAUGGCCGUUACAGAGGGCAGCGAAGCCGCGAGGCGGAGCAAAUCCCGAAAGGCGGUCCCAGUUCAGAUUGCAGGCUGCAACUCGCCUGCAUGAAGGCGGAAUUGCUAGUAAUCGCGAAUCAGCAUGUCGCGGUGAAUACGUUCCCGGGCCUU
This 461-nucleotide ribosomal RNA is filed under the name uncultured bacterium. RNAcentral describes it as "bacterial SSU rRNA". It matches the Rfam family "Bacterial small subunit ribosomal RNA", at positions 917 to 1382 of the family's 1533-position model. The record is from RNAcentral.